CUCUCGGCAACGGAUAUCUAGGCUCUCGCAUCGAUGAAGAACGUAGCGAAAUGCGAUACUUGGUGUGAAUUGCAGAAUCCCGCGAAUCAUCGAGUUUUUGAACGCAAGUUGCGCCCGAGGCCACUCGGCCGAGGGCACGUCUGCCUGGGCGUCACGCACCGUUGC
Molecule: ribosomal RNA, 165 nt
Filed under: Lithocarpus rotundatus
Lineage: Eukaryota; Viridiplantae; Streptophyta; Magnoliopsida; Fagales; Fagaceae
Description: 5.8S ribosomal RNA
Rfam family: 5.8S ribosomal RNA
About the family: 5.8S ribosomal RNA (5.8S rRNA) is a component of the large subunit of the eukaryotic ribosome.
Source: RNAcentral